GGGCGGUUAGCUCAGUUGGAUAGAGCGCCUGCUCGACAUGCAGGAGGCCGUAGGUUCAAGUCCUAUACCGCCCA
Molecule: transfer RNA, 74 nt
Filed under: Planctomycetota bacterium
Lineage: Bacteria; Pseudomonadati; Planctomycetota
Description: Planctomycetes bacterium (groundwater metagenome) tRNA-Val
Rfam family: tRNA
About the family: Transfer RNA (tRNA) molecules are approximately 80 nucleotides in length. Their secondary structure includes four short double-helical elements and three loops (D, anti-codon, and T loops).
Source: RNAcentral